ACAGUUUCAUCUUCAUUUUCAACAAAAACAGAGAGAACUCUCUCAACACCCUCUCCCCAGGAACCGACCAAAGGCUCCGGCGCACCUCCGCCGUAGCUCCGCCGUAGCUCCGCCGUAGCUCCGCCGUAGACGGCAGCCGGAGGUGCAAAACAGAACCUUUCUUAGCCCCGCUUGAAGCCCACCCCCUUUAGAACUCGGAUUCAAAGCCGAAUCCUUUAAAAAACGAGUCAAAACCGAAAAGAAGAGAAGGAAUCCGUUCGCCUUCCCUCCUCUCCGGCGCGGCGCAGGUACAUGGCAAGGUCAACUUGCCAUUUCGGUGCAAGGCCGGCUGGUGGUGGCAGGCCUCGGGCGUGGUGCGCGCUGAAGGCUCACAUGGGUAGCAGCAGGGGAACGGCGCCAGAAACCCUAGGGUUUCUGGCAUUCUGAAAAUGUCAAACGUUUUGGGCCGUUUGGGCUUUUGAAUUUUGGGUUGUGGGUCUGUUAUUGUAAUUGGGUCAGUAAAUUUUUUUGGGUUGGUAGGUUCGGGCUAGGGUUUAUAUGGGCCCGGGCAAAAUAAGGUCUGUACAAUACCCAAAAAAAAUCACUUAGUAUUUAAAUAUACAUUUCUGCUAUUUUCAAUUAUAAACUUAUAGUAUAAGUACUAUUAUUUGUUAUCGUACGUAUAAAAGAUGUUCAUUUCCAA
Long non-coding RNA from Gossypium raimondii (Peruvian cotton), 682 nucleotides. RefSeq lists it as uncharacterized. The transcript has 2 exons. Lineage: Eukaryota; Viridiplantae; Streptophyta; Magnoliopsida; Malvales; Malvaceae. The record is from RefSeq and is a predicted model, not a curated record.